RNAcentral lists this long non-coding RNA (480 nucleotides) under Medicago truncatula (barrel medic). RNAcentral's name for it is "lncRNA gene21619". The record is from RNAcentral. Lineage: Eukaryota; Viridiplantae; Streptophyta; Magnoliopsida; Fabales; Fabaceae.
UAUGUCUAACCCAAACAACAUUAGGGAAUUUACUAGCAUUUAUUAUAUUUAUUCUUUAAGUACCCCUGUCAUAACUUACAGGAAAAUUAUACACUUAGAAAUAUCAUAUAAUUAAUUUUCAACUUAUUUUGUCUCAUAUUUACAAAUACAUCGAAAGACCCAACAUUCCUCAGUUAAACCAGAGCGACAUAUAUUAGUAGCACAAUCAUCAGUAGUAACACACCAAUAUGUAUGAUCUGUGAUUUCAAAUAAGAAUUAAAGAUUAAUAAUAAAAAAAAUAAAAAAAGAUGAAUGAUUAUGGGUAUAAUAAAGAAAAUAAUUUAAAAUAGAUGAAAAAAAUAACUUACUGCCACUGAUUACAAGACCAAUUAAAGAAAGAAAGAUGACUAAAGCAUGAAUAAAUUUGAGAAUUUCAGCCAUAUUUUUUCUCCUUUGCGAAUAAUAAUUAAAAAAUUUGUCGAUCACUUUAUAAGCAAAAAU